RNAcentral lists this long non-coding RNA (5462 nucleotides) under Canis lupus familiaris (dog). RNAcentral's name for it is "lncRNA (ENSCAFG00845020678.1)". The record is from RNAcentral. Lineage: Eukaryota; Metazoa; Chordata; Mammalia; Carnivora; Canidae.
AUCAUGACACUAUACACCUUAAAUAUGUACAGUUUUUGUCAGUUAUACCUCAAUAAAACUGGAAAAAGCGUUUUAUAUGCAAAUAAAAAAUGAAACAGCAUUUUAAAUUAAAGUGUUCAUUGUAAGAUUAUAGCAUAUUUAUCAACUCAUUUAGGGUAUGCCUAAAUUCUGUUGUCAAAAAUUUUACUACCUUAAAUAAUCUAGCAUAUAAGUCAUUUCAUACAUAGGUGAGGAUGCAGUUUUAUUUUUUAAAUGCUAAUCCAGUUGUCUCAGUACUAUCUACUGAGCAAUCCUUCCCUUCCUUUCUAACAUGAGAUACUGCACGUAAUCUAAUAUUCAACUGCAUUUUGCAUUUGCAAAUCCAAUUCUUUGUGACUUUGCUUUAUGUAGUGGCCUCCCUCCCAAUAACAAUAACCUAUAAACAUAUUGUUGGGACUUUCUUGAUAUCUAUUAAUUUCAGGUCUAACAACAUUUCUCAGGCCCCACCAAUUUAACUCCCAGUACUACCAAUAAUAUUUUGUUUUAAUUAAACUCUCUUUUGCUUGGCAAGAUGUCUGAAGCAUAUCAAUUAGCCAAUUAGUUCUGAUCACUGAAGUGUCUCUUUGGCUCUGUUUCCACCAAGACACAGCCUUGCUCACAAAGGACCAUCUCUUAGGAUUAGAGCCCGAGGCAUAGCCGUGUGUCCUAAGGGGCCAGUUCCUUAGGGGUUAUUGUGAGGAUUAAGUGAGUUAAUGUAAAAUUCAAGAAUGUCAACCAGAUUGGAGAAAGCAUUUCAAACAUGUAACAGAAAAGCAGAUAUCACAGUGCUAACAGGUGCAGACCCUGGAGCCAGGAGACUGGGUUUGUACCUAUCUCGUCACUGUCACCUAUCCAUCGUGUACCUUUGGCAGAUUCCUUAACUUCCUUGUGUCUCCAUAUCCUUAUCUGUAAGAUGGGAAUAAUAAUAGCGCCUACCCCCAGGGAUGCCACUUGCUUAUGCUGUCGCUUUGUGUGAAUUUGGAAAAAGACAGUUGCCUAUUAACUUUGCAACCUAAAGGCGUCUUUGUGUGAAGAAAUCGGAACUCCUUCAUUCCCAUGCCAAGGCAAGGACAAGAUGCGCUGAAUGAGGGUGGAAUUGUAGCCCCUACGCCCACUCUCUGCCACGUGCCUUUAUGCAAUCCAGUAGUACAACCCCACACCAUGAUCAGUCUACACUGUGGGAUCACUGUGUAUAAUAGAGGAGUUACUACUUGUAAAACACUUAGAACCAUCCUUAGCACAUAGUCCGCCCUCAGUAAGUAUAGCUGUUCUCUUACCUAGUGCUUCUCACAGUUUAUUUCUGAGCCUGGCUUUGCCAGUACUACUGAUGACAGCACCAUUUUAAAACCCAAAGACAGGGGAUCCCUGGGUGGCUCAGCGGUUUAGCGCUGCCUUCAGCCCAGGUUGUCCCAGGAUCGAGUCCCACAUCAGGCUCCCUACAUGGAACCUGCUUCUCCCUCUGCCUGUGUCUCUGCCCCUCUCUCUGUCUGUGUCUCUCAUGAAUAAAUAAAUGAAAUCUUAAAAAAAUAAAUAAAAAAAUAAAACCCAAAGACAAGUAGAGAGCUUUUUUUAAAUACCUCUCUUUUGGUAAUCACCACUUAUUUUAUUUUUAAAAAAAGCUUUUAUUUAUUUGAGAGAGAGCAUGCGUGAGCGGAGCAGGGUGGGGGAGAGAGGCAGAGAGAGAGGGAGAAGCAGACUCCCUGCCGAACAGAGAGCCCCACGGGGGGAUCGAUCCUAGGACCCUGGGAUCAUGACCUGAGCCAAAAGCAGACAUUUAACCAACUGAACCACCCAGGUAUCCCAGUCACUAUUUUAAUUAUUUGCAAGGCUAUUUAUAUCACAUAUAAUCCAAAUAACUUAAUUAAAUUCUCUAGGUGUGUGUGCCAAUGCACACGUGCACACACACACACACACACACACACACACACUUUUUUGUUGGGGAGGGGGGCAAAUUUGAAUUGGCCUAAUCACUGAUCUUAAAACAUCUGCUGAAUUCCCAGUUUGUCUUCACACCUGGGCCUGGGUAAAGCACUUCCAAUGCAAAGUUGAAUGGGACACAGAAUCAGAUCUCUUUCAAGAGAAAUAAAAUCGGUGGUUACAGUUCAGUGCAAUGCAUGUUAGGCUCAGAGUGGAAAGGGAGCACAGAGUGGGGGCUGAUUAGGAAGCACGUCAGGAAAAGAUUUCUGUAAGAUGUGAUCCUGGGUUUGUUCAAAAAAGUUAGGAAAAAAAACAAACAAAGGGAAGUUCAGGCCAGUAAAGGCAUAGAGAUGAUAACCAAUUCCAUUUCACUGGGCCAGAGGCUUUGGUAGUUUUGAGGGGAGUUUUUUCUUCUUUUAUUUGAGAAUAGUAGACACACCAUGCUACAUUUGUUUCAGGUGUACAACAUCAUGAUUCAAAUCCUCUAUCCAUGCUAUGCUUACACAAGUGUAGCUGCCAUCUGUCACCACACGUGCCCUUACAGUAUCACUGACUGAUUCCUAGCUGUGCUUUAUUCUCCUCACUUCUUCAUUCCACAACUGGAAGCCUCUGUCUCCCUUUUACCCAUUUUGUUCAUCCCCCACUGCCUCCCCUCUGGCAACCUCAGUUUGUUUUCUGUGCUUAUAGGUCUGAUUCUGCUUUUUUGUUUGUUUAUUUGAGUAUAGAGGAAGAUUAUUUGAGAAAGGAAGUUAAAGGAGAGUGAUCGAAGCCACAUUUGACUGAGUAUUGAAGGAAGCCAGAGUAAAUACUUAGAAGUUGAUCCUAGAAGUAAGAGAGGGUCAUUUAAAUAAUUUUUGCUGAGAAUUUAUCUAUCUAAAACUGCAUUUGGGGGUAUAAUUUUAUGGCUGAGUUGCACAGGCUCAGUUGGAGCAGAGAAACGAUGGCAAUGGGCCACUCAAGAUAUCAGGAACCUGAAGUGAGAGAUAUUAUGAAGGAGGAAGUGGUGUGGUUUGAAGAUUUGACUGGAUGGUAAUGGGGCUGGCUGACAUUUUAUCUGUGCAAGUUAAGCAGAGAAAUCAUAACCAAGGGAUGACAUACAUUUUUCUUUCUUUUUAUGCUGUACGUUUAGGGCCUUUCUUAUAAGGAGUUCUUUAAUUCUCUUUCAGAAAGCAAACUAUAUUUCCCAGGCUCUGGUGGUCUAGAAGUAAACUCAGAUUUUCUAGAUUUAGGCAAAAUAACGUAAAGGAAAUUUUCCCUAUGAUAACCUGCAUCUUUUCAUAAUUAUCUCCUUAUCUAUGCCAUAUGGGAUACCUAUAGAUGUUAGAAACAUCAACUUCUCCAGAGAACAGCUUAAGGAUUUCUCACAAUGAAAUGCGUCUGCUAACGGAUUGAUAAACCAUAUUGUGCAAGGUGAACCUCAUGCCCUAUGGUUCAGGAACAUGGCACAAGUCCCCCAUCUAUACAUAUAGUCUAUAAUGUGCCUAUCGCUAUCUUGUAAAACAAGUAUCUACAAAUUAAGAUUUAUGUACUAGUAAACCUGUUCCAGUUUAUGAUGACUUUCAAUGACCUACCUACAGACACCUGUUCUUGUCAGUACAAAUUGGGUUGGUUCACUUGUGCCAUAUGUGUAUGCAUUUGAAGCCUAGACUCACUGAAUUUCAUUGGAUUAACACCGAAGAUGCUGAAAACAUGUUUUGUUACUUGAUAAAUCUCUUGUAUUUUUCCCCAGGUUAACUAUAAUCUUUUUGAUAUAUUUUAUUAGUAUUACUUUUGCAAUUAGUAUUCUAAAAUAAUAAUAUGAGGAAAACUGACUAUAAAAGCAAAGUUAAAAUAUGCACUAUGCAAGUAUUAUAGAAUUUAUAGAAUUAUUUCUAAGGGUUGAUAGUAAUGGGAUUAAAAACUCAGAAUAAGAUGCAUGUACUUGCCUCUAGCUCAUCAUCAAGUACUUCUUAAACUUGUGAAGGAUAGCAUGGGCAUUUGAAAAAUUCAAGUGCCACCCAGAAUGACUGACUAUACCUGAUUGAGAAAGGUAUUUCUUUGAUGUAUCACUUUUAGAGAAACCAAAUUCUUAUCAUUUCAUUUGUGAAAAAUAUAUUUGAUGCAGGAUGGAAAAAUAAGCUAUGCCUUCUAUGUGGACCAUUAACAUAUGCAGAAUAAUUUUUUUCUACAAUCUGGUCUGCAGACUAAUAUUGACUAUUAUGUCAUUUUCUCUAUUCUCUGGAAAAUGAAUUAAAUUUUAAGAACAUGUUUGACUUUUGUUUGUUCUUGAACCUGGAGAAUCCCAACCCUCAAGUUCCCUACAUUGGGCUCUUGCUUGUCCCUCUCCCUGUGCCCCUCCUCCCACUCAUGCUCAACUCUCUCUCAAAAAAAUAAAUAAAUAAAUGAAAUCUUAAACACACUCACACACAUCCAGAUGGAAGUGGUGAAGACAACACUACUAUUUCCCUCUGGACUGGUUUUUCUAACAUCCCAGCCCAGAAACUUCAAAAACUUCUUUAAACAUUACUACCCUUAAUUUGUGAAAUCUGUCCUUAAGUCUCCUUACUUUUUUCUAUGUAUUUCUCCCAUAUUUGUCUUUUCUAUCACAAGCAACCCUCACUAGACAUCAUCAUGUUGCAAACGCCUCGUUGCUGUCCACCCUGCUUUCCGCGUGCAGCCUUCCCGUCCAUCCUCAUGGUGGCUGCCAGCCACCCUGCUCCGUACUUGUCUUGGGACACAGCCCCUCCCUCCCAAAGUAGACCACAGGGGAAGGGCCUCUGGGGAAUUUCAUGAAGACUAAUCUCUCUUUCUUCAAAGGCCCAAGGGGAGCCCCAGAUAACUGUUUUAGAAGCUGUGUUAUUUAAUUUAGCCAUAUUUCUCUGAAUAUUCUACACCCUAUUGACUGCAUUCCUGACUUUAAAUAGAAACCUUAGAAAGUUCUAUCCAAGCACCAUUUUUUGUGUGUGGAAUUAUGGUAGAGCAUGCCUGUGUUACCUUUGGAACUCGGCCAUCAGCGCACUAAAGACCGCGUUUUCAGGAACUACACAGACAGGAGACUUUGUGACUUUGAAUACAGCCUUCAUGCAGCAGCUUUGCAGUUUUAUGCAAAUAAUCAAGGAAGACUUCAAAUUUGCCUGUUUUGGAAAAUAUUCCUCCAUCACUUAAUAAGCAAACUGGUAAAUAUUUUUAAUUACAUUUUGGUAAAAUAUUUCUCCUAAAAUUAUGUCCAUUGAUUUCCUCCCACUCAAUCAGGUACUAAAUCAGAGGCAUUUUCUUCAGAUUUAAUAGAAUAUACAGUGAUUUUAAUAUAUCUAUUACAGUUCUCUAGAUAUGGCAAUAAAAUUUCAAUAUUAAAAUGCCUUAAGGGGGAUCCCUGGGUGGCGCAGCGGUUUGGCGCCUGCCUUUGGCCCAGGGCGCGAUCCUGGAGACCCGGGAUCGAGUCCCACGUCGGGCUCCCGGUGCAUGGAGCCUGCUUCUCCCUCUGCCUGUGUCUCUGCCUCUCUCUCUCUCUCUCUCUCUCUCUCUCUCUCUCUCUGUGUGACUAUCAU